AACGAACGCUGGCGGCAUGCCUAACACAUGCAAGUCGAACGAGACCUUCGGGUCUAGUGGCGCACGGGUGCGUAACGCGUGGGAACCUGCACUUAGGUUCGGAAUAACUCCCCGAAUGGGGUGCUAUUACCGGAUAAUGUCUUCGGACCAAAGAUUUAUCGACUUUGGAUGGGACUGCGUUGGAUUAGCUUGUUGGUAGGGUAAAAGCCUACCAAGGCGACGAUCCAUAGCUGGUCUGAGAGGAUGAUCAGCCACACUGGGACUGAGACACGGCCCAGACUCCUACGGGAGGCAGCAGUGGGGAAUAUUGGACAAUGGGCGAAAGCCUGAUCCAGCAAGGCCGCGUGAGUGAUGAAGGCCUGAGGGUUGUAAAGCGCUUUUACCCGGGAUGAUAAUGACGGUACCGGGAGAAUAAGCUCCGGCUAACUCCGUG
This 433-nucleotide ribosomal RNA is filed under the name uncultured bacterium. Its description in RNAcentral is "partial 16S ribosomal RNA". It matches the Rfam family "Bacterial small subunit ribosomal RNA", at positions 29 to 507 of the family's 1533-position model. The record is from RNAcentral.